RNAcentral lists this ribosomal RNA (255 nucleotides) under uncultured bacterium. Its description in RNAcentral is "partial 16S ribosomal RNA". It matches the Rfam family "Bacterial small subunit ribosomal RNA", at positions 524 to 776 of the family's 1533-position model. The record is from RNAcentral.
UACGUAGGGCGCAAGCGUUGUCCGGAAUUAUUGGGCGUAAAGAGCUCGUAGGCGGUUUGUCGCGUCUGCUGUGAAAACCUAAGGCUCAACCUUGGGCUUGCAGUGGGUACGGGCAGACUAGAGUGCGGUAGGGGGUGACUGGAAUUCCUGGUGUAGCGGUGGAAUGCGCAGAUAUCAGGAGGAACACCGAUGGCGAAGGCAGGUCACUGGGCCGCAACUGACGCUGGAGGAGCGGAAAGCAUGGGAGCGAACAGG